RNA transcript from Lampris incognitus (smalleye Pacific opah), 2506 nucleotides. It is a transcript of the gene named zinc finger DHHC-type palmitoyltransferase 12a, with no coding region annotated. NCBI's taxonomy places the organism in Eukaryota, Metazoa, Chordata, Actinopteri, Lampriformes, Lampridae. The record is from RefSeq and is a predicted model, not a curated record. The transcript is spliced from 7 exons.
AACCGGAAGGCGUCUUGAGACUUAACGCUGUUGUCCUGCCCCGGCUUGAGUUAUGGUUUGGCGUGAGCCCCCCAGAAGGAGCCGCUUCUCCUCCUGUGUUUAAAUGAAGCGGCGAACGGGGAGGCGGCGGCUCAUAGUCGGAGGUGCGAAAGGAGAUGUUUGAAAAGAUGUUUGGAUCCGGUUUUCUUGUCCGGACCACACACACCGUUCUGACGUGGGUCAUAACUCUCAUACUGUUUCUGCACAACACUGAUUUGCGGAGAUGCGAGGAGAAGGGAGAGUUAACGCAGCCCAUUUUGUUCUCCCUUCUGGUGCUGCUGUCGGUCAUGCUGUACUUCAGUGUGUCACUAAUGGACCCGGGCUUUGUCCUCACAGAUGCCGUCAAGUGCCCCACGGGCUCGGCCGAGGAGUCGGAGGUGAUGAUUCUUCAGUUGCCUGUGCCGCGGUUGCGUCGCUGUGGCUUCUGUUUACUGCAGCAGCCAAUGAGAGCCAAGCAUUGUCGAAUGUGUAAGCACUGCGUGCGUCGGUUUGACCAUCACUGUCCCUGGAUAGAGAACUGUGUUGGGGAGAGGAACCAUCGCUGGUUCAUUGUCUACCUCGCCGUGCAGCUGGUGGCGCUGCUAUGGGCCCUUCAGAUAGCGCUGUCGGGCCUGACACCCAGUGGCUCGUGGGAGCGCUGGUUCCAGCUGAACUGGUUCCUGCUGGCAGUGCUUGGCGUGGUGGGUGUGUUCUCCAUCGUGGUGGUCCUGCUGCUGGGCUGUCACCUCUACUUGGCCGCCAUCAACUGCACCACCUGGGAGUUCAUGUCUCGCCACCGUAUCUCCUACCUGAGAAACUGCGUGGAAGAGGAGAACCCAUUUGACCGUGGCAUGGCCUGCAACCUCUGGGACUUUUUCUGCAUCUGCCGCAGUGUGGUUUGGGAGCACGUCUACCACAGAGGCAACCGCAAUCCCGUCUGAUCGGUAUACCGACGGCAGAGCACCGUCUUCAUUGGACUUGCGAGGCAUAUUAUUGAUUAUAUCCACUGGAGGGCGACAUGGGUUGUCUACUGUGAAUUGAGUCUCUUCCACCAUCGUGUUGCAGUUUGGAGACACCAACUAACCAACUGCAACCGCUUUGGCAAGACUGUAAAGGUCAGGGCUGCAGCAGUGUCUGCUUUUAUUCUGUAAUUACAGAGGAACUGAGUUGACGGAGUGGAGUGAAAUACAUAAUUACUGCUGUAAUACCAUGUAGGAUUCACAGUGACAAACUGAAUCUUCAUACAAACUUGACUUCUUUUCACUCCUGUCACUAGUCCAUGGAGCCAGAAGCCCACACAGGACCUUUUUAUUUACUUAAAGUGCCUGGUGGAUUCCGAAGCUUACCAGCCAUCUUUAUUGUUUAACCAGUUACAGGGAUGCAAACUUGUCACCUUUCAAUGAAAAUAGCCGUUUUGAAUCCAAAAUAGGAAAUUUGUGCGAUUCGUGUAGACCCAAUGAGGUUUUGAGAUUGGGGUCUGCAUGGACAGAGUCACGGGGAAUGAAAUGAGUACCACCCCUUCUGAGUUGGCAAAAAAAAAGAAACGCUACUGCCUUCUGUACUUGGCAUGUGCAAUGCACUUGAGAAGAGUUAAGAAUGAAGAGGGCCAACUCUGGGAGGCAGUUUUCACUGCCCGCAUGCCUUAAGUGGCCAGUUGCUCCCUAUUCUAGUUCAAACACCCACCCUCGUACUGUAUGCGUUCGCCAACUGCAUCUCUCCGGCCGGCAGUCUCGAAGGAGACGCCUCGCCACUUCCGUGACAACUGCAUCUCCCAGAGGCAGGGGACUCUUCUGCAAGAGGGAAGAAGGCACAAUGAGUGUGACUGCCACCAUUCAGGCGACGCUCAGGGGAGCAGGAGGGCCACAGCCGAGGAGGAAAAAAGUGGCCAAUUGCUCCCUAUUCUAGUUCAAACACCCACCCUAUAGUCGGAUCUGACGAGACCGAGGCGCGAACCCCGGUCCCCAGUGGGCUAAGUAAGCCCUGUGUUUUAAUUGACCAAACAGCAGACCGCGAGCUCUGCUGAAACAUCCAGUCUGCAGGAACCACCGACAAGGUCCAGAGGCAGAGGACUCUUCUGCAAGAGGGAAGGAGGCACAAUGAGUGUGACUGCCACCGUUCAGGCGAUGCUCAGGGGAGCAGGAGGGCCACAGCCGAGGAGGAAAAAAGGGUCCAGGCUCGAGCACGCUGCAAAACUUGAGUUGUUGCCUCCCGACUAGAUCCUUGCUUGUGUUGUAUUAACGCUUAGAUGUGCGUCGCUUUGGAUAAAAGCGUCUGCUAAAUGAAAUUGUAACAAAAGUAAGAAAGCGGGCACUUGAGACUCUAGUACAAGCCAAAAAGAAGAAAUAAGCUCUCUCUCUCAAAAAAAACAAGAAAUAAGGACAGUCUCUCUCACAAAAUAUAACAUAAGCUGUGUUUUCCAUUUGACUUGUCAGUUGUUGUGCAUAUUGUGUUUUUGUUUGUUGUUUGAUAAACUUAAUCGUAUAGUUGA